This 548-nucleotide long non-coding RNA is filed under the name Equus caballus (horse). RNAcentral describes it as "lncRNA (ENSECAG00000028681.2)". Lineage: Eukaryota; Metazoa; Chordata; Mammalia; Perissodactyla; Equidae. The record is from RNAcentral.
CUUUACCAGUACGCCCAUCGCAACCUUACUGGCUGGAGGAAUUUGCGAUGAGAAUGAGAACCUGCUGUCUAGCGGAAGCCAGAGCUGGAGGAGCUGUGCCUUCGCCCCACCAGCCAGUCCCCUCCUCCCACGCCGCGGGACCUGUCAGCGCUGUCUCCAUCCGCCCCACACGGAGGCCUGGGAAGGUGCUGGUGGGCAGGAGAUGUUACCAGAUGCACCCUUUGUCCCCGUCCCUGCUGUCUGGGCCAGAGGAGCACAGACAAGGCGCCUCCGUCUAUUGCUUUGGAAUGUUGCACAGCAAACAAUUAUACCUGGUGGGACUCUUUACAGGAGCGUGCCUAUUAACGAUGUUUUCCCAGGGAUGCAACGACCUCCAGGAAAUGAGAGAAAGAGAUGGCGUGGAAUCUCAAAGACGACAACACCAGAUGGUCGACAUCCCAAGAGCCCCCUUUUCCAGCCCAUUUGCCCUAUAGAACUGCUUCAAAAUGUUGUAGUUUUAGGAUGGUUCUUUAGGACACGAGUCGCCAUCUUCCCCCUUGCAAGCGAGA